Molecule: ribosomal RNA, 252 nt
Filed under: uncultured bacterium
Lineage: Bacteria
Description: partial 16S ribosomal RNA
Rfam family: Bacterial small subunit ribosomal RNA
Source: RNAcentral
UACGUAGGUGACCAGCGUUGUCCGGAUUUACUGGGCGUAAAGAGCGCGCAGGCGGUCGUUCAAGUCGAGUGUGAAAGCCCCCGGCUCAACUGGGGAGGGUCAUUCGAUACUGUUCGACUCGAAGGCAGGAGAGGGAAGUGGAAUUCCGGGUGUAGUGGUGAAAUGCGUAGAUAUCCGAGGAACACCAGUGGCGAAGGCGACUUUCUGGCCUGUUCUUGACGCUGAGGCGCGAAAGCUAGGGGAGCAAACGGG